Non-coding RNA from Podarcis lilfordi (Lilford's wall lizard), 79 nucleotides. Lineage: Eukaryota; Metazoa; Chordata; Lepidosauria; Squamata; Lacertidae. The record is from the annotation of a GenBank genome assembly.
GCAAUAGCUUAGUUGGUUAGAGCGUGGUGCUGACAAUGCCAAGGUUGCGGGUUCGAUCCCUGUCUCCUCCAUAUCUGCA